This 226-nucleotide long non-coding RNA is filed under the name Elaeis guineensis (African oil palm). RNAcentral describes it as "long non-coding RNA (EGUI_LNC029294)". The record is from RNAcentral. Lineage: Eukaryota; Viridiplantae; Streptophyta; Magnoliopsida; Arecales; Arecaceae.
UGGUAUUUCAGAGUUCUCAAUCGACAGUCAACCUCCGACACAUAGUCGGCCGACUUAUUCGAUAUAUCAUAACUGUCAUGGAUGGUUAUCCCUCAAAUAUUGCGGCGUAAUCCAUGAGAAAUAAUAAUCCACUAUGAGAUUACAGCCCAAUGAUUCUACGCCAUACAAUGCGGAACUAUAUCCGAUGGUUACAACUAUCUUUUCUAUAAAAAGAGAGUAAGGCAAC